This 555-nucleotide small RNA is filed under the name Pongo abelii (Sumatran orangutan). RNAcentral describes it as "processed transcript". The record is from RNAcentral. Lineage: Eukaryota; Metazoa; Chordata; Mammalia; Primates; Hominidae.
AGCAGUUUUAGCGUAGUGAGGCGGGAAGUCUGAUCGGAGCGUGGAAGUAGAGGAACUGAAGAUAGGGAAUAAAGGCAGCUUUUCAUGAUAAUGUUAUUAUAAAGAUAAAAAGGAAGAGGUUUAGGGGCAUUUGAGAUCUGUGAGGCAUCAAACUGCCCAGCCACCUAACUCCAGACACACUCUAAUGUGUGUGGUGUAGGAUUUAGAAGAAUUCUGCUUCAGGUUUUGCAUAAACCAUCUGACUGUAGUAACACAAACAUCAGGUUUUGCAGAAAUGGACCAUGAUCUCCUGAAGAACUUUAUCAGCAAAGCAAGCAGAGUUGGAGCCUUUAAAAAUUGAUCCCAUCUGCAGGAAAGGAGUUUUUGAGCCUUUCCAUUUCCCCUGCAAAAGCCAGAGAUGAAUCACUUCUCUUUAAUUAACAGUAUGUAUGAUGAGCUACGUUUGGCUGAGUACUUGUAUCUGUCAAAAGAAGGAUGGUGGUGAGUGGUCUUUGUCUGCCUAAACCCAGUUUAUGUAGAAAGCAUUGAAUGUUCUGAUCAGAUGUGACUAAGGUC